GGAAGGAUGGCCGAGCGGUUUAAGGCACCGGUCUUGAAAACCGGCGUGGCGAAUAACCACCGUGAGUUCGAAUCUCACUCCUUCCGCCA
This 89-nucleotide transfer RNA is filed under the name Candidatus Saccharimonadota bacterium. RNAcentral describes it as "tRNA-Ser". It matches the Rfam family "tRNA". From Rfam's summary of the family: Transfer RNA (tRNA) molecules are approximately 80 nucleotides in length. Their secondary structure includes four short double-helical elements and three loops (D, anti-codon, and T loops). The record is from RNAcentral. RNAcentral also lists the same sequence under 1 other name. Lineage: Bacteria; Candidatus Saccharimonadota.